AACAUCGACAUUUCGAACGCACAUUGCGGUCCACGGAUACGAUUCCCGGACCACGCCUGGCUGAGGGUCGUUUAUAAAACUAAACCAGACUGCUCGCGACUGCGAGCGAUUACCUGAGCGUUCGUUUCGACCCGUCUCGCUGCUGCGAGCGGGACGAGGCGUCGCUCUAAAUGAUGAGAAAAAGUUGUAUAUUCGAACGCGACGAGCACACACACGUCUUGCACAGUGUCGAACGCGUCGCACGCCGAUAGUUGAACGCGUAAGCGCGCGCGUGUCUGGCCGUCGAGUCCCGGAGCUCUAUUGCGAGCGGACCGACGGCCUUACCGCGGCGCGCUGGCUUUCGGCGUGCGUUCUGUGCUUUAACAUGGCGCGCUCAUACGCUUUGUUACUUAACCAUACACGACGACCUCAGAGCAGGCGAGAC
Molecule: ribosomal RNA, 424 nt
Filed under: Neochrysocharis chlorogaster
Lineage: Eukaryota; Metazoa; Arthropoda; Insecta; Hymenoptera; Eulophidae
Description: eukaryotic LSU rRNA
Source: RNAcentral